RNAcentral lists this transfer RNA (513 nucleotides) under uncultured bacterium. RNAcentral's name for it is "partial may contain 16S ribosomal RNA, 16S-23S ribosomal RNA intergenic spacer, and 23S ribosomal RNA". The stretch from base 252 to 324 matches the Rfam family "tRNA". The record is from RNAcentral.
GGGGAACCUGCGGCUGGAUCACCUCCUUUCUAAGGAGUCGGACGUUCGCAAGAACGUUCGGCACCAAACCUUGCAACACCACCCUCCACGAGAGGGUGCUGCGUUCAGGGUGCCUCGCAACCUCCUCCCUAGUUUUGAAAGACUGGCGAACGUUGGGCCUAUAGCUCAGCUGGCUAGAGCGUACCCCUGAUAAGGGUAAGGUCGGUAGUUCGACUCUACCUAGGCCCACCUGACCCGGGAUCGCGGGCCGAGGGGCUGUAGCUCAGAUGGGAGAGCGCCGCCCUUGCAAGGCGGAGGCCGUCGGUUCGAUUCCGAUCAGCUCCACUCCCCCCAACCCCAACCCUGCCGGAUGCGCGGUGCGGGCAUCACGCGAUGCGCACCGCGGAUCCAGACAGGGUUCUUCCCGGGUUCGUCAUUCGGUCUUUGACAAUUGCAUACGGGUAAAGAAACCGGAUCUAAGAGAGCGCAAUUGGUAGUUCGGCGAUGAAAAUGGUCAAGCUACUAAGGGCGUAC